CCAGACUCCUACGGGAGGCAGCAGUGAGGAAUAUUGGUCAAUGGGCGGGAGCCUGAACCAGCCAAGUCGCGUGAGGGAAGACGGUCCUACGGAUUGUAAACCUCUUUUGCCGGGGAGCAACGGGGUCCUUGCGAGGGCCCAAUGAGAGUACCCGGAGAAAAAGCAUCGGCUAACUCCGUGCCAGCAGCCGCGGUAAUACGGAGGAUGCGAGCGUUAUCCGGAUUUAUUGGGUUUAAAGGGUGUGCAGGCGGAGGUGCAAGUCGGCGGUCAAAUUGCGGGGCUCAACCCCGGCGAGCCGUUGAAACUGGCUGUCUUGAGAUGUCGAGAGGUAUGCGGAAUGCGCAGUGUAGCGGUGAAAUGCUUAGAUAUUGCGCAGAACUCCGAUUGCGAAGGCAGCAUACCGGCGGCGAUCUGACGCUGAGGCACGAAAGCGUGGGUAUCGAACAGGAUUAGAUACCCUCGUAA
This 465-nucleotide ribosomal RNA is filed under the name uncultured bacterium. Its description in RNAcentral is "bacterial SSU rRNA". It matches the Rfam family "Bacterial small subunit ribosomal RNA", at positions 331 to 793 of the family's 1533-position model. The record is from RNAcentral.